Molecule: unclassified non-coding RNA, 2254 nt
Filed under: Hevea brasiliensis (rubber tree)
Lineage: Eukaryota; Viridiplantae; Streptophyta; Magnoliopsida; Malpighiales; Euphorbiaceae
Source: RNAcentral
UUCAAAUUUAGGUAUUUCGAAUGAUAUAUAAAGAAAUAGCGUGAGCUUUUCACAGCUUCAAAUUUAAUUAGCCCUCUAGCGUCUUAUUUCUCACAUCCUUCUUCUUGUUAACAAAGGUAACAACAUGGAUGCCUUUUCUUCCUCUUUCCUCUGUUCUGUGCAAACUUCAAAACUCUUUCUCAGCCCUAAGAUCACCAUCCCCAAUUCAUUUCCUUUUCCUCAUCUCCAUCCUUUCAAUGUGUCAUCUGUUAGAAUUGAAGAAAAACCUCAACCCACAACUACAAGACCUACCACCACCAAAAGAACAUCUAAUACUACUACUCCACCCGUCACAACUAGUACUAAGUCGUCGUCAUUGUCGCAGCCGCCUCCUUCUGCAGCAGCAGCUGGGGCAAAGAGAAGAGUAAAACCCACCCUACCAGCUAUGGUAUUCAGUGCCUUGGAUGAUGUAAUCAACAACUUCAUAGAUCCUCCAAUCCGGUCAUCAGUGGAUCCUAGAUACAUACUUUCCAACAACUUUGCUCCCGUUGAUGAGCUUCCUCCAACUGAGUGUGAGGUGAUAGAGGGAUCUCUUCCAUCAUGCCUUGAUGGUGCUUAUAUUCGUAAUGGUCCGAACCCACAGUACCUGCCUCGAGGACCUUACCACCUAUUUGAUGGAGAUGGCAUGCUUCACUCCAUCAGAAUCUCUCAAGGCAAGGCCAUUCUCUGCAGCCGAUAUGUCAAGACAUAUAAAUACACUACGGAGCGUGAUGCUGGUGCUUCGCUUCUUCCAAAUGUCUUCUCUGGAUUCAAUGGCCUGGUUGCCUCUGCAGCCCGUGGAGCUCUCUCCGCUGCUCGAAUUCUUUCCGGUCAAUUCAAUCCUGCAAAUGGCAUUGGUCUAGCAAACACCAGCCUGGCUAUGUUUGGCGAUAAACUCUAUGCACUUGGUGAGUCUGAUCUACCUUAUGCUGUGCGUUUGACAUCAAAUGGGGAUAUUGAGACUCUGGGUCGCCAUGAUUUUGAUGGAAAGUUGUUCUUUAGCAUGACUGCUCACCCCAAGAUAGACUUUCAGACAGGAGAGACCUUUGCUUUUCGAUAUGGUCCUGUUCCUCCAUUUUUAACGUACUUUCGCUUCGAUUCAAAUGGAAAUAAACAGCCAGAUGUGCCUAUAUUUUCCAUGAUGCAACCAUCUUUCCUUCACGACUUCGCUAUUAGCAAGAAGUAUGCUAUAUUUGCAGACAUACAAAUUGGGAUGAACCCCACGGAAAUGAUCUUCAGAGGAGGCUCUCCGGUGGGUUCAGACCCAGCAAAAGUAUCAAAAAUCGGAGUCAUCCCGCGAUAUGCAACCGACGAGUCAGAAAUGAGAUGGUUCGAUGUGCCUGGGUUCAACAUUAUACACGCCAUCAAUGCAUGGGAUGAAGACGAUGCUAUUGUCAUUUUGGCGCCCAACAUUUUAUCGGUAGAACAUACAAUGGAGAGAAUGGAGCUUGUCCAUGCCUUGGUGGAGAAGGUGAGAAUAGACUUGAAAACUGGCAUAGUUACAAGAAACCCAAUUUCAGCCAGAAAUCUAGACUUUGGAGUGAUAAAUCCUGCAUAUGUUGGGGAAAAGAACAGAUUCAUAUAUGCAGCCAUAGGUGAUCCAAUGCCAAAGAUUUCAGGGGUGGUGAAGCUGGAUGUGUCAAAAGGGGGGCGCCAGGAGUGCACGGUGGCUAGUAGGUUGUUCGGGCCAAGAUGCUAUGGUGGUGAGCCUUUCUUUGUGGCGAGAGAGCCUGAAAAAUCAGGGGCAGAAGAGGAUGAUGGGUAUGUGGUGUCAUAUGUUCAUGAUGAGAUUGCUGGAGAGUCCAAGUUCUUGGUGAUGGAUGCGAAGUCGCCAAAUCUUGAUAUUGUGGCUGCUGUCAAGCUGCCCCGGCGAGUUCCUUAUGGCUUCCACGGACUUUUUGUGAGGGAAAGUGACCUGAAAAAGCUGUAGCUACUCAUGUUUCUAUGGGAAGGAAACUUUUACCUAUAGUAACCCUACAGGGAUGACCAAUCAUAUGGGUGAAAUUCUUAGGUGAAUCUCCUUAUGGAGUGGAUUUUACUUACAAGAUGGAGUUCAUUUCAUAUAAGUGGUGGCACAUGUGUAAACGAUAGAAAAAUAUACAUGGUAAAAUUAGUAAAUAUACAUAUGGGAAUGAACAAUACUGAAUUUUUCUUAUCACAAGACUUACUUUUCUUUAGAUUUAUUAUUGACAUUAAUUUGUAAUUAUUUCUUAUAUAUAUGUAGUUUUCAUGGAAG